RNAcentral lists this transfer RNA (72 nucleotides) under Ictidomys tridecemlineatus (thirteen-lined ground squirrel). RNAcentral describes it as "Spermophilus tridecemlineatus (thirteen-lined ground squirrel) tRNA". It matches the Rfam family "tRNA". Rfam says of the family: Transfer RNA (tRNA) molecules are approximately 80 nucleotides in length. Their secondary structure includes four short double-helical elements and three loops (D, anti-codon, and T loops). The record is from Rfam by way of RNAcentral. Lineage: Eukaryota; Metazoa; Chordata; Mammalia; Rodentia; Sciuridae.
GGGGAUGUGGCUCAGUGGUAGAGCACUUGCCUAGCAUGCAUGAGGCCCUUAAUUCAAUCCCCAGUACUUCCA